This 254-nucleotide ribosomal RNA is filed under the name uncultured bacterium. RNAcentral's name for it is "partial 16S ribosomal RNA". It matches the Rfam family "Bacterial small subunit ribosomal RNA", at positions 524 to 776 of the family's 1533-position model. The record is from RNAcentral.
UACGUAGGGUCCAAGCGUUAUCCGGAAUUACUGGGCGUAAAGAGUUGCGUAGGUGGCAUGACAAGUCGGUAGUGAAAGCGUGAGGCUCAACCUCAUACACAUUAUCGAAACUGUCGAGCUAGAGCAUAGUAGAGGUACCUGGAAUUCCUAGUGUAGGAGUGAAAUCCGUAGAUAUUAGGAGGAACACCGAUGGCGUAGGCAGGGUACUGGGCUAUUGCUGACACUAAGGCACGAAAGCGUGGGGAGCGAACGGG